Long non-coding RNA from Diorhabda sublineata, 1309 nucleotides. RefSeq lists it as uncharacterized. The transcript is spliced from 3 exons. The record is from RefSeq and is a predicted model, not a curated record. NCBI's taxonomy places the organism in Eukaryota, Metazoa, Arthropoda, Insecta, Coleoptera, Chrysomelidae.
UGAUAUAAGUAACUGCACUUUUCUGUCAACCAAUCGCAAUUAAUUUUAAAAUGAAAAUAAUUUAAUUACAAACAGCGGAGUAUAAGGUUGCGUGUGAAAAUUUAUUCAUAGAUACAAGUUGUAAGACUUUGAAACUGAAAAAAUGGAGCGGGCAGAACUAUUAGACAGAGAGACAUUGCGCGUAGAAUUCCCUGCUAUAGAGAAGGACAAAGUACUACAGCUGUGAGCACAGGCGCCGUAAGCCAUAAGAGAGUGCGCAGCUUUACUAUAGAGCAAUGUUUUGGGUUAUCUGUUGGUAAACACGUCGUGUAUUGUGAAAAUAAAUUAAAAAUGACAAAAAAAAGUGUUUUUUAUGCCAAAAAACUGACUCAGUUAUUCUUUUUAACGACAAGUCAUUCGAAAAUUGUUCUAUAAAAUUAUCAUUCCGGCGUUUAAAAGGUUUUAAAUAUGCUGACGUCAAUUUAACCAAAGACUCAAUUGAUGUUGAAGGUUAUCACUCUUCUUGCUAUAAAAAAGUUUUAAAAAAUAUUUACAAUGAUGAAUUUGAUUUAUUUGUAAAAAAUCUUGAAUUAUUUAAAGGCAAUCUACAUCCAAAAUCGUUGACAACAACUUCUGAGGAUACUGAGGAUAAAGAAAAUAAUGGUGAUGUGGUAACUCCUUCUCCUGAUAAAAUUAAUAAGGUACGGUCUAUGGACACAGUAUUAACAACACAACAAAAUUACAGUAACUACACAUCUAAAACUCCAGCAACUCAAGUAACUCCAGCAACUCUAGUCACUCAAGUAACUCCAGCAACUCAAGGUAUCUAAUAUUUUCUAAAAGUUUUUCUGCGAAAGAAGAUAAUGAAAAUUUUCUCAAAAAAGUUAAAAGUUUUGACUCGAAUACAAUACCACCAUGCUGGGAAUCACUCAAACAAAAAAUUUUACAAACUAUUUAUGUAAAUUCGAUGUGGCUACAUGCAACUGACCCAAAUUGUGUGAAAUUAAAUCCUGAAAAUUGUGGUUGGAUCCUAGAUGGAUAUUUUAAACCAAAAGUAUUUGCUGGAGACCAAACACCUUUGAAAAUAAAUGAUAUUAUUGAAAUGACAGAAAAAGACAACGACGAAGCUUCCCCUGAUUUAGAAAACGAUACAACUUCCGGUGACUCUGAUCCUGAAUAAAAAUUAUUUAUUACUGUUUAGUAAUGUUACUUAUUUUAAUGUAUUUAUUAUUGAAUAAAAAAUUUUUUAUUUUCCUGCUAAACAAGAAUUAAAAAUUUUUUGAAAAAUAUUGUUUGUUUUUUCUUUUGUUUGUUUUAAAUACAUUUUUCG